Molecule: long non-coding RNA, 21409 nt
Filed under: Malus domestica (apple)
Lineage: Eukaryota; Viridiplantae; Streptophyta; Magnoliopsida; Rosales; Rosaceae
Description: long non-coding RNA (MDOM_LNC019071)
Source: RNAcentral
UAAGUAAAUUGAAUUCACAACUUAUGAAACGCAAUUAGAAGUAAUCAAAUCAUAUAGCAAGCAUAAACAUGGCUUCGAAUUCCCCCCUAGCCAAGGGGGGUUUAGUUCCUCAUACUCACAAAACAAAGAGUAUUGAAUUUAAACAUUGAAAACAAGGGAAAGAAAACACCUAAAACGUUCCAGCAAUCCUAACUUGAAUGACAUGCACGUCCAAGGCUUCUCCUUCUUCUUCUUUGCUGCGGCACAAGGUUUUGGGGACAGGUUUGGAUGGUAUUUGUAUGGAGGAAUGGAUGGGAGAUGGUAUGGUGGUGUUUAGGAUGGAUGAGAGGUGUGGCAAAAGAGAGAAAGAUGGCUGAAAAUGUGUUUGUGAUGUAGUGUAUGAAUGUGUAGAUGGGUUUGGCUAAAAGAAUGGAUGGAGAAUGGGUGGUGUGGCUGAUUGUGUUUUUGAUGUAGUGUCAUCUCUAGUGUUCUUCCCUUCACUCCCUAUUUAUAGAAGCUCUAAAGCAAAGAAUCACUCAAGUGGCUUCAAUAAACAAUACAAACAAAGACCAAAAUGAUGCAAAAAUAGCUAGUUUACAUGCUCUUUUAUCAUUGUGUCUUGCCUUUAACAAAAGGCAAUCCUUCGUCUUUUGCUAAUUCAACUCCUUUGUAGCUGUCCAUGUGCCUUUAUUCUUCAAUUUCUGAUGCAUUUGCCUUGUAUUCCAUCCCUUUUCCACAUGUACUAGCUGUUAGACAACUUUCACACACAUGUUUUGCAUCAUUUCAUCUUGCAAACAUCAACUUUCGGCCACUUUACACCUCUACACACAUGCUAUGCAUCAUUUCAGCUUGCAAUUAUGUUUGUAGUUGCUGAAAAUGUGAAUACAUCUUGUAAAGCAAUCCAACAAAUGGCAUCUUUCACUUCUUUUCCUUUCAAAUUGUUCCUUAAGUGUAUGUAUCUGCACACUUGCACACUUCAACUUCAUUAUUCAGAUUUUUGCAUGUGUUGAAACCCUUUUUAAAACACCAAAAACGUCCAUCCCACUUGGUCCAUAUGCAUGCAAUCCAUUUUGGCCCAAAAUUGCUCCAAAUUGCACCAAAAUGCACUUUCUUUCCAACUUAGUUAUUAGGACCUACAAACACACGAAAAUAGCUUAAAACACUCUUAUAAGCAAUAACUAACUAAGUAAAUGCAAGAAAACAUGUUAACUAAGUCGCAUAAAUAUGCUCCUAUCAACGUUUCAAAUAAUGUGUAUGUUUACAUUGAAAUACUGUAUAUGCAAAUUGGCAUGAAUCAGGGGUCGUACUAUUUCAGUGUUUGUUGGGUAUGAAAGUGGAAUCAUAAACCGAAUAGCAGGGGUUUUCGCCAGGAGAGGUUACAAUAUCGAGUCUCUUGCUGUUGGUUUGAAUAAGGACAAGGCUCUCUUUACCAUAGUUGUGUUUGGGACUGAAAAGGUGUUGAGGCAGGUUGUUGAAUAGCUCAACAAGUUGGUGAAUGUGAUAAAGGUUAGUGGACGUCUUUAGUAUUUCGUGUAAAACCUUUUGGUAGUUUCUGCAUUAUCUUCACUUAUAAUUCUGCUUUAUCAGGUCAAGGACAUCUCAAGGGAGCCACAAAUAGAACGUGAACUGAUGCUUAUCAAACUUAAUGCAGAUCCAAGUACCCGUGCAGAGGUAAAUUUUUCGAUCAUCCAGCCAAUAAUUGGAUAAUCGUUCUAAUAUGUUUAAAUGAUCCACCCCUAAGAAUAAUCAUCAGUAAUAUGUGGUUUUAAUUCAUCUGUAUAAUUCUCUACAGAUAAUUUUAAAAUGUAAUUUUCGCCAGUUAUACAUCAUGUUGCGUAUAUCUGUGUUUUCGGCCCUCUAUUGCGUGUUUACUAGGCUGUUGUUGUGCUCUGCAUUGUUUAUGUACUGUAGGCUUUGCUGGUGUGAUUACCGUGUAUUUAUAUUUGUCAUUCUUAAUUUGGUUAGAUGGUAGACAAUGGCACAACAUGUUUAAUAUUUACUUUGAAUGCCAAAUGCAAACCUAACAGCCUUUAUCAUCCCAAAUGUACGAAUAUUUAAGUCUGUUUAUAUAUGCCUCCAAAUAUAUAUAUAUAUAUUUUUUCAAUUCAGGAUUUCAACAUAUCAAGUAUGGAGGGAAUUGAUAGAAGCAAUAUGUCAGAGGUUUUUACCUUAUCUGCAUUAUUCCUCUUCUGUAUAGAUGAUUUAUUUUUUCUUCUUUUCAAAAAUAAAAUUCAUUUUCUUUGGCAAUUUCUCAAUGUAGGUCAGCAAUGAAGAAGUUCACUUCAGACAAACAAAUGUUCACAAUUCUCGAUAGCUAGACCAAAGGUAUUAGGAGCAAUCAAUAAAGGCAAAGAUGACAAUCUAUGAAUUCAUCACAACGGGCUUGAAUUUCAAUGCGACGACGUGCCAAUUAUCAAACCCGAUUGAACUCAGUAAAUAUAGUACAAAAUCAAACAGAAGUAAACCAAGAAGACAUAGGACCAACAUCAGUGGGUAAUAUGAUUUCUACUUUUUUUGUCUUUAAUAAUUAAGACACAUCUAUUAAGAUUGAACGAAUAGUGAUUUUAGGUUGGAGUUUGUACAUUUCUAUGUUGAAUGUAAUAUGCGUUUGUUGAUAUCUUUUACAAUGACUUUUAAAUCUUUUCAUUGUAACGGUUAAUUGAGAAUUACUGUGAAUUCUGGAAAUGUGAUAGGAUAGGAAUCGAGCAACUUCACUUAGGUCUGAAUUGUGGGAUACGGGUUGGGAUGAAUUGGUGGCAUUUGUACACAACAGUUCUACAUAAAAUCAAGUAACAUAUUGAAUUAAAUGAUCGUACAAAUUAUAAAACUUCGGGAAAAGGAAAGCAUGCGAAAUAUCUAAAGAACAAACCUUGAGGAAAGCGAACAUAUAUUAAAGUCCUUAGCGCCACCAAGUUCAAGGUUUAAUGCAGCUCAGAUAGCAACAACCAUUGACAGCCUAAUAUGUACAUCUGGAAGGAAGGAAAGGUAAAACAGAAUCAUAUUAUUAGGUACAUAUUGAUGCGAAUAAUAUAAGCACACUCAAAUUAAACCCUCUUUUUGACAAUUGUAGCAAAGUAUGUAAGUAGGGAUCGUUCUAAACCGGGGAUUAGGAGGGCUUGCUAAAACCUCUAAACUGACUCAAAAACAAAAAGAAACAAAGUUAUAAAUGUAAACAAAAGAUUUUAAAACAAGAAAGUAAAACGGGGAUUUGAGUUUGGUGAAGUUGAAAGUAAAAACGAAUAAACUAAAAACUUAAAUAGAUUUUUAAACAAAUUUGGGUUGAAUGGAUAAUGGAAGGCUAGCUAAGGGGUUCUUCUCCACACAUGUCUUGUUUGCAUACAAAAUGAUUUCCAAUUGCUCUUCGAUAAGUUAUGAAUACUCAACGCCCCAAAUUAACCGUGAAUUGCACUAAUUAACUCUCAGUUUUUCAACAAGUUAUUAGAUUGGAUGAUUGCAUACGACAACCCAAAACAUUCCCUACAAGUUCCCUACAUGAAUUGCAUAAUAGAGAUACAAGCAAGAAUCAUUAAGUUCUAUGAAAAACAUAAGCAUUGACGAGGCACUCGUUACUAUGAUUUGCAUGAAACUUAUGCCAAGAAUUUACUUAACGUGAUUGUGACUAGCAACCUUCACUACUUGUGAAUAUAAGUUCAUAACGAUUAGGUGAAACUCCCUUAUAUUCUAGCGUCAAAUUCAUGCAUGAAAAUUAAGCGUGCACUCUCAACCAACAUACACAAAUUAGUUUUUAUACGAACGGAUAAGUAAAUUGAAUUCACAAUUCAAGAAACGCAAUUGGAAGUAAUCAAAUCAUAUAGCAAGCAUAAACAUGGUUUUGAAUCCCCCCCUAGCCAAGGAGGGUUUAGUUCCUCAUUAUUACAAAACAAAGAUAAACAAAUUUAACCAUUGAAAAACAAAGGGAAGAAAGCACCUAAACGUUCCAACGAUCCAUGUUGGAUAGCAAGCGCGUCCAAGGACUUUUCUCCUUCUCCUUGCCGCCACAACAAGGUUGGAAUGAUGUUGAAGGGUUGGUUAUUUGGAGGAAUGGAUGGGAAGGGGUUUAGAUAUGUAGGAGAGGCAAGGAAAGGCUUGGAGAAUGGUUAAUUUCUGGAUGAUUUCAAUGAGGUUGCUGCAUGGUAUUUAUAGGGAGAUGAUGGACUUGUUUUAAGCACAAAUUUCUGGUGGAAUGGGUAGGUAAGUCACGGCAUUGAGUGGGAAUUGUUGUUGGGGUAGGUUUUGAGUCAUCCACUCACAUGUCAUGGUUAGCUAAGCAUUGCAUCAUCUACUCACAUGUCAUGGUUAGCUAAGCAUUGCAUCAUCCACUCACAUGUCAUGGUGAUUUAAGCAUUGCAUCAUUACUCAAAUUUCUGGUGGAGGUGGAAGUAAAAGUCACGGCAUUGAUGUGUUUUGAGUGAAGUUUUGGCCAAUCCUUUUAGAAAUUUAUCCCUUCUUGCAACUUGUAUUUGUUUUACCAGAUUUUUAGCAUGUUCUUAGCCUCUUUUGUCUUCAAAUUCGUCCAUCCAUCUUGCUCAUAUCAUAUGUAAUCCAUUACAAGCUCAAAACUGCUCCAAAAUGCACCAAAAUGCACUUUCUUGCUACCUUAGCCCUUUGGACCUACAAACACACGAAAAUGGCUUAAAGUACUAAAAUAACUAAGAACUAAUAACGUAAAUGCAAGAAAACUAGUUAACUAAGUCGCAUAAAUAUGCGUCUAUCAAAUUCCCCCACACUUAGCUAUUGCUAGUCCUCGAGCAAAAUAAAACAAAUAAAACAUAACCUAACCUUCCAACAUUUGCCUUAGGGAUUUCCAAUGCACAUGACAUGUUAAAGAUUAUCAUUCCCACAGAAUUGAGUCAAUUUAACACUUAAGCACAUACUUAAUCAUAGUCACUACUUACUAAUUCACAAUUAACCAAUUAAAACAAUGUUUUGAAUGUAGUAACAUGCCUUAGAGAAUUCCCUCAAUCCUUACAAGAUACGCACUCUAUUUUCACUCAGAUUUUCUAACUACACACCCUAUACUAGUUAUAUGUGAGAGAAUUGAUGUAGAUAUAAAAACGAAUGCUCACAUAUAUGUAUAAGAAAGAACACAAUUUCUAGAGUUAAUAAGCAUGUUGAGAUAUGAUCUCAUGAAUGGAAUGCUACUACUUAGAUGCGAGAACCAGUGACCAUAUGCUCAUACCAAGUUCAAUCUCCACAAAAUUGAAACACAUAACACUCAAGAUAGAAGUCAAGGGUUGUAACGGGGCUUGGGGGUAUUGGCUAACAAAGAAAGGAUAAGGAAAACAAACGUUCUUAAAGUGAUAGUAAGCAAAGUAAUGAAAUUGAGACUUAGAAUUUACUUAGAUUGCAGAAAUUAGCUUUAAAACACAAGGGGAAGAUUUAAACAACUCCUUAGGGUCGAAUUCAUUGUUUUGGACCCCUUCUUCAUCAAACAACACUUUAGAACUCUUUUUCACUUCUUUUUCAACUCUUUUCGCAUUCUUUUCAUAUUUUUCUUUUCUUUUUUUCUUUCUUUUUACCCGUGCCUAUGGCACAUAAUUCCUUAUGAAAAACACUUCCCCCACACUUGUUUUCUGCCACAAAGGAAUUCAAUUUGAAUCAUGCUUUACUACGCUUUAAGAACAAGGUUAAUGGAUGGUCCUAAUCUAAGCUAGGUGAGGGUAAUGUGGGUUACAAAGAAAAGGCUCACAAAGCUCAACGGGAUUAAAACGUACAAAACAUAAUGACAUAGGGGAUUCACGGCUUUUUGGUUAUGGUGGUGGUUACUACACAACUUUAUCUUGAAUAUGUGUUAUGCAAAUCAAUGACAUGCUUUGAAUGAAAUGGGUAUGAGUUCUAGCAUUUGGAACUAAAUGAUGAAACGCCUUCUAAGUAGUAACCAAGCAAAGAAUAAUGAGAUCAUGCAACGACUUAGAAAACAAUAAAUCACAGAUUAUUAACUCUCCAAAUAAACGUUUAGGCUCAAGUCUCACAAGGUUGUAGCGUUAGUUUGAGUUCUUUCCUUCAAGCAUGUUACAAAAACUGAUUUUUCCUUUAAGAUUGCAUGUAAAUUCAUAAGUUAUAACCACAACCAAGCAUAAACAAAGAGUAAAUCAAACUUUCAUCCAUGUUAAUCACUCUCUUUAACAGCCAUGAAAUUACAAACCAAAUCCUCAUCAUUGUGUUGGAAGGUACCCUAAGACACAAACAAACACACAAAAACAACCCUUUUUGGGUUUUUAAAACAAAUUUUUCAAAUUUUUAUGUGAUUUUCGGAUUUUUACUUCAAAACACACUAAAACACAUCAAAACAACUUAAAAACACUUAAAAAAAAAAAAAGCAAGGAACAAGUCUUUAAGUUAAGGGUGAUAAAAUCCCACGAAUUUGCAUCAAAACACUUUGGUUACCCCCCCACACUUAAAUCAAACAUUGUCCUCAAUGUUUCAAGCAUAGACUAACACAAAUAACAAACAAACAAACAAAAUAGCAACUAAGCAAUUUAACAUGGCAUAAAUGAAAACAACAACAAAGAGAAGGGUUUAGGAACGCAAAUCUGGAAUUUGGAGUGUUCUCUAGGUCUUCCUUUGUUGCAUGCAUGGGUUGCCUCCCAAGUAGCGCUUGCUUUAACGUCGUACAGCCGGACGAAGAACCCAUUCACUCCUCAAUGGAGUCCACGGCAUGCAAGGGAAUGUCAUCCACGGUAUGCUCCUCAAAGUUCUCGUAGUACGGCUUCAAACGAUGCCCGUUCACCUUGAAUUCGUGUCCCGUUUUCAAGCUUUGGAUUUGGACUGCACCAUGAACAAAAACAUUAGUAAUAACAAAAGGUCCAAUCCACUUGGAACGUAACUUACCGGGAAACAAACGUAAACGGGAAUUGAACAAUAGCACUUUCUGCCCAAUUGCGAACGUUUUGCCUCUAAUCAUCUUAUCAUGGAACGCCUUGGUCUUUUCCUUGUAAAUGUUUGCGUUCUCGUAUGCCUCGUGCCGUAUCUCAUCAAGCUCAUUCAAUUGGAACUUCCGGUGACUUCCCGCUUCAUCGAGGUUCAUGUUAAACUUCUUGACGGCCCAAUGAGCUUUGUGCUCCAACUCAACGGGGAGAUGGCACGGUUUGCCAUAGACAAGCCGAAAGGGGGACAUUCCAAUGGGUGUCUUGUACGCCGUACGAUACGCCCAAAGUGCAUCAUCUAACCGUAAACUCCAAUCCUUCCUUGUUGGCCCAACGGUCUUCUCUAGGAUUUGCUUGAUCUCACGGUUGGAAACCUCGGCUUGGCCAUUAGUUUGAGGAUGAUAAGGCGUAGAAACCUUAUGAUUGACAUUGUAUUUCCUCAAUAACGCCUCAAUGGUCCGGUUGCAAAAGUGUGACCCUCCAUCACUAAUGAUCACUCGUGGCAUGCCAAACCUUGCAAAAAUGUUAGUUCUAAUAAAAUCUGCAACCACUUUAGAAUCAUUAGUCCGGGUGGCCUUUGCUUCCACCCACUUUGACACAUAAUCAACCGCAAGCAAAAUAUAUAUAAAACCAUACGAAGAAGGAAAGGGACCCAUGAAAUCCAUACCCCAAACAUUGAAAAUUUCAACAUUUAGGAUAGAAACCUGCGGCAUUUGGUCCCUAGCACCAAUAUUACCCAUUCGUUGGCAUUUAUCACAUGUUAAGCAAAAAGUUCUAGCAUCCUUAAAAAUACUAGGCCAAUAAAAUCCACAUUGUAAUACCUUAAGGGCAGUUCUUUGUGUGCCAAAGUGCCCACCACAUGCAUAUGUGUGACAAAAACUUAAAAUUGAACGAAAUUCAGAAUCAAGCACACAACGACGAACAAUUUGAUCCGGGCAAAAUUUCCACAAAUAUGGGUCAUCCCACACAUAAAACCGUGCAUCAUGCCUAAGUUUAUCACAUUGGUGCCUAGUGUAAGUGCUUGGAAUUCUUUUUGUCACCAAAAAGUUCACCAAAUCAGCAUACCAAGGCUCACUAACCUUUAUGGACAUCAAUUGUUCAUCGGGGAAUGUCUCCAAAAUCGGCAAAGCCUCCUCAUUAUGCACCAUUCGGCUCAAGUGGUCAGCCACUAUGUUCUCACUUCCCUUCUUGUCACGAAUCUCUAUGUCGAACUCUUGAAGUAGCAACAUCCACCGAAUUAACCGUGGCUUGGCCUCCUUUUUGGUGAGCAAGUACUUCAAUGCUGCAUGGUCAGUGAAAACAAUUAUUUUAGUACCAAUUAGAUAUGAUCUAAACUUAUCUAAAGCAAAAACAACGGCAAGAAGUUCUUUUUCUGUAGUGGAAUAGUUCAAUUGUGCAUCAUUCAACGUCCGUGAGGCAUAGUAGAUGACGUGUGGCUUUUUGUCCUUCCUUUGUCCCAAAAUAGCCCCUAAAGCAUAGUCGGAUGCAUCGCACAUAAGCUCGAAAGGUAGGCUCCAAUCUGGUGGAACAAUGAUGGGUGCCGUGGUUAACAACUCCUUGAGUUGAUUGAAUGAUGCCGUGCACUCCUUGGUGAAUUCAAACGCCACUUCUUUUUGUAGGAGACGGCAAAGAGGUUGUGCUAUCUUCGAAAAAUCUUUGAUAAACCUACGAUAAAAUCCUGCAUGACCAAGAAACGAACGAACCUCUCUAACCGAAGUCGGAGAGGGUAAGUGACGUACUAGAUCUAUUUUGGAUUUAUCCACCUCAAUGCCGUUUUCAGAGAUAAUAUGCCCUAAAACUAUGCCUUGUUUUACCAUAAAGUGACACUUUUCCCAAUUUAAAACGAGGUUAGUUUCCAUGCAUCGUUUUAAGAUUAAUGUGAGAUUUUCCAAGCAACCAUCAAACGAAUCGCCAAAGACACUAAAAUCAUCCAUAAAUACCUCAAUAAUUUUCUCAAUAAAAUCUGAAAAAAUACUUACCAUGCAUCGUUGGAACGUGGCCGGUGCAUUGCAUAAACCGAAUGGCAUGCGGCGGUAAGCAAAAGUACCAAAUGGGCACGUGAAGGUGGUUUUUUCUUGGUCUUCCGGAGCUAUGACAAUUUGAUUAUAUCCCGAAUAACCGUCAAGAAAACAAUAAAAAGAAUGACCGGCUAACCUUUCUAGCAUUUGAUCGAUGAAUGGUAGUGGAAAGUGGUCCUUCCUUGUGGUGUUUGUUGAGCUUCCUAUAAUCAAUGCAUACUCUCCAACCUGUUUGAAUACGGGUUGGUACAAGCUCGUCCUCGGCAUUCUUCACCACAGUGACUCCGGACUUCUUUGGGACAACUUGAACCGGUGAGACCCAACGGCUAUCCGAAAUUGGAUAAAUCACCCCACAAUCGAGAAGCUUUAUAAUCUCCUUUUUCACGACUUCCAUCAUUGGAGGGUUGAGUCGGCGUUGAGCCUCUCGAGUUGGUUUAGCCCCCUCCUCUAGAAAGAUGCGAUGCAUGCACGUUGUAGGGCUAAUUCCCUUAAUAUCGGCCAAUGUCCAUCCGAUGGCUGUUUUGUGCUCUUUCAACACCCGAAUCAACUUUUCUUCCUCUAAUGCCGUGAGUGAUGAAGAGACAAUGAUGGGCAACGUCUCUUCCUCUCCCAAGAAUGCAUACUUUAAAUGAUCCGGCAACGGUUUAAGCUCAAGAACGGGGGCCUGAAUCACAGAAGGUAACAACGUAUUAGUUGAAACGGGAAUUGGAAUUGGGUUAGACGGCUUACCAUGAUGUUUUGGCAAUGAUUCCAAGGCAGCCACAAGCUCGGCAUGUUCAUCAUUUGGUACGGCCAUGUUGGGUUUUGUGCCAAAUCCUUGUGCAAUUGUCGUUUCGAGUGGAUCGUCUUCCAACAUAUCAAGAUAAUCCUGUGCCAAUUCAUCCAAUAUAUCAAUAGAAAAACAAGAAUGAUCAUCUUUAGGAAAUUUCAUAGCUUCAGAAAUGUUAAAGUUAAUAAUCUCCCCAUCAAAUUCCAUUGUCAACGUCCCUUUGAACACAUCGAUCUUGGUGCGUGUUGUUUUCAUGAAUGGCCUCCCAAGUAGAAUCGGCAAUGGGGUGACAUUUGGUGAGUCCUCCAUCUCUAAAAUGUAGAAAUCCGCUGGAAAUAUCAAGUUAUCCACCUGCACCAAUACAUCCUCCAAAACUCCUUUCGGAUAUGCAUUAGAACGAUCGGCUAAUUGAAUUAUAACACCAUCUUUUUUAAGCUCUCCUAAGUUCAUGGAUGCAUAUAUUGAGUAUGGCAUGACAUUAAUUGAAGCUCCUAGAUCUAACAUAGCAUGUUCAAAUUUAGUAUUGCCUAUAACACAUGGAAUUGUAAAACUUCCCGGAUCUUUGCAUUUAGGAGGUAAUUUUCUUUGCAAAACAGCGGAAACAUUCUCACUUACCUGGACAACCUCUUUGUUUGAAAUUCUCUUUCUUGUUGUACAUAGUUCCUUCAAAAACUUGGCGUACCUAGGUACUUGCUUAAUUGCGUCAAGGAGAGGUAUAUUGACUUGCACUUUCCGGAACGUCUCUAGAAUGUCCUUUUCAGCUUCUUCUUUCUUUGUUUGCUUGAACCUACUAGGAAAGGGGACAUUCAAAGGAAAAUCAUUAGUAGGAAUGGAAUUGGACACGGUUGUACCUUUAUUUGGCAGAUUGGAUGGCUUAGGAGCCAUGGAGACUUGCGGCAAAGGAACCUCUUUCCUUGCCGUGGCCAACCCUUGUUCCUCCUCUUCAAUUAUCACUUCCUCCACCUUGUUUGGGGCUGAUUUGGAUGGUGGUGGGGCUGUUCCAACUUGUUUCCCGCUUCUUAACAUGAUUGCCUUGGCAGAUUCAAAGCCUCCUUUUGGAUUUGCAAUGGUUGAGCUAGGCAACCUGCCUUGCUCUCGAAACUGCCCCAUGAACUCGGCAAUUUGCCCUACUUGUUUCUCCAACUCGUCCACCUUUUUGUCCCUAUUUUGCAUUCCCUGCGCCAUAGAAGUUAGUAAAUUAAAAAUUUGAUCAUUAUCAAUAGACAAACCUGAUUUUUGGGCAGGUUGUGCUUGGGGUUGAGUUGGUGCAAACGGCUUUUGAUAGAAACCCGGGGGUUGUUGCCUAAAUCCGCUUUGUUGUUGGCCUUGUUGGGGUUCUCGCCAUUUGAAAUUUGGAUGAUCACGCCAACCGGGAUUGUAAGUAUUGGAAAAGGGGUCAUUCCUUGGUUGGUAUUGGUUGCCAAAUCCUACGGCAUUGAGGGUCUCCCACCCUCCAUUUUCUAUCAACUGUGGGCACUUGUCCGUAAGGUGGCCUUGCAUGGAACACACGCCACAAGCUGCCACGUUUUGCACUUUUGGACCUUCCAUUACCUGAGAAAGCAAAGUAGUAAGGUUAGCCAUUUGAUUUUGAAGUUCGGUUAUGGCACUUACCUCAUUGACUUGAUGUGGUCGUGGGUUACUCCUUUGUCCAACGCCUUCGUAUUGUUGAGCAUUCAACGCACGGUUGGAAAUUAAAGUCUUUGCUGCCGUGGGGGUCUUGUCCACCAAGGCUCCUCCCGCCGAGGCAUCUAGCAUUUGACGUUCGAUAGGUAGUAGCCCCUCGUAGAAGUAUUGCAAAAGAAGUUCCUCAUUCAUCUGAUGCUGUGGACAAGAAGCAACAAGAGAUUUAAAACGUUCAUAAUAAGUAGGAAAAGAUUCACCUUCCUCUUGUUGAAUUCCACUUAUCCUUUUCCGUAGGAGGAUGACUCGAGAAGUUGGGAAAAACUUCUCCAAGAAGGCACGUUUCAUGCUUUCCCAUGAUGUGACGGUUCCGGGCGCCAAUUCGUACAACCAAUCCUUCGCCUUUUCCAAGAGAGAAAAAGGGAAGGCUUUCAUCUUCAAAAUACUCCCAUCGACAUUGACGGGGGUCAUGUUCGAACACACUACCUCGAAUUCUUUCAAGUGUUUGUUAGGAUCUUCCAUGGACAACCCAUGGUACUUCGGAAUGUGGUGUAACAAGCUUGACUUCAAUUCAAAUUCUUCUGUCUUUCCUCGGGCUGCUGCGGGGUAUUGGAUACAUAGAGGCGCGGCAUUGUCUAAUCCCGAGGCUGAAAGUUCUUUGAUUGUUCGAUUGUCCACCUCCAUGUCUUUUUCUGCCUCCUCCUUUUCUUCAAAUUCGGAUUCAGAACUAGAACUAGGUGGAUUAGGUUCUGGUACUUUCCUUUUCCUUCUCAAAGUUCGUUCAAAAUUGUCGUCAAACUCCGAUAUAUGUGCACGAACUGGUUGAGAACUACGAGUCAUAAACUAGUACCUGAAAUAAACAAAAUCAAAUAAAAUUAAAACUAAAAUUAAAACACACAAAAAAGAAAUAAAAAGAAACAAUGGGGAUUUAGCAAAGUUGCUAUUCCCCGGCAACGGCGCCAAAAUUUGAUGCGAAUAAUAUAAGCACAUUCAAAUUAAACCCUCUUUUUGACAAUUGUAGCAAAGUAUGUAAGUAGGGAUCGUUCUAAACCGGGGAUUAGGAGGGCUUGCUAAAACCUCUAAACUGACUCAAAAACAAAAAGAAACAAAGUUAUAAAUGUAAACAAAAGAUUUUAAAACAAGAAAGUAAAAGGGGGAUUUGAGUUUGGUGAAGUUGAAAGUAAAAACGAAUAAACUAAAAACUUAAAUAGAUUUUUAAACAAAUUUGGGUUGAAUGGAUAAUGGAAGGCUAGCUAAGGGGUUCUUCUCCACACAUGUCUUGCUUGCAUACAAAAUGAUUUCCAAUUGCUCUUCGAUAAGUUAUGAAUACUCAACGCCCCAAAUUAACCGUGAAUUGCACUAAUUAACUCUCAGUUUUUCAACAAGUUAUUAGAUUGGAUGAUUGCAUACGACAACCCAAAACAUUCCCUACAAGUUCCCUACAUGAAUUGCAUAAUAGAGAUACAAGCAAGAAUCAUUAAGUUCUAUGAAAAACAUAAGCAUUGACGAGGCACUCGUUACUAUGAUUUGCAUGAAACUUAUGCCAAGAAUUUACUUAACGUGAUUGUGACUAGCAACCUUCACUACUUGUGAAUAUAAGUUCAUAACGAUUAGGUGAAACUCCCUUAUAUUCUAGCGUCAAAUUCAUGCAUGAAAAUUAAGCGUGCACUCUCAACCAACAUACACAAAUUAGUUUUUAUACGAACGGAUAAGUAAAUUGAAUUCACAAUUCAAGAAACGCAAUUGGAAGUAAUCAAAUCAUAUAGCAAGCAUAAACAUGGUUUUGAAUCCCCCCCUAGCCAAGGGGGGUUUAGUUCCUCAUUAUUACAAAACAAAGAUAAACAAAUUUAACCAUUGAAAAACAAAGGGAAGAAAGCACCUAAACGUUCCAACGAUCCAUGUUGGAUAGCAAGCGCGUCCAAGGACUUUUCUCCUUCUCCUUGCCGCCACAACAAGGUUGGAAUGAUGUUGAAGGGUUGGUUAUUUGGAGGAAUGGAUGGGAAGGGGUUUAGAUAUGUAGGAGAGGCAAGGAAAGGCUUGGAGAAUGGUUAAUUUCUGGAUGAUUUCAAUGAGGUUGCUGCAUGGUAUUUAUAGGGAGAUGAUGGACUUGUUUAAGCACAAAUUUCUGGUGGAAUGGGUAGGUAAGUCAUGGCAUUGAGUGGGAAUUGUUGUUGGGGUAGGUUUUGAGUCAUCCACUCACAUGUCAUGGUUAGCUAAGCAUUGCAUCAUCCACUCACAUGUCAUGGUUAGCUAAGCAUUGCAUCAUCCACUCACAUGUCAUGGUGAUUUAAGCAUUGCAUCAUUACUCAAAUUUCUGGUGGAGGUGGAAGUAAAAGUCACGGCAUUGACGUGUUUUGAGUGAAGUUUUGGCCAAUCCUUUUAGAAAUUUAUCCCUUCUUGCAACUUGUAUUUGUUUCACCAGAUUUUUAGCAUGUUCUUAGCCUCUUUUGUCUUCAAAUUCGUCCAUCCAUCUUGCUCAUAUCAUAUGUAAUCCAUUACAAGCUCAAAACUGCUCCAAAAUGCACCAAAAUGCACUUUCUUGCUACCUUAGCCCUUUGGACCUACAAACACACGAAAAUGGCUUAAAGUACUAAAAUAACUAAGAACUAAUAACGUAAAUGCAAGAAAACUAGUUAACUAAGUCGCAUAAAUAUGCGUCUAUCACAUAUGAAAUUAAACUACUCAUCUUUUUUCCUCUAAAACAACCCCACACUAGACCUCCAAUGGUUGAUUCACGACAUGGGGUAACAAAAUAGUUUUCAAAUAGCUUUAGGUUAGAGAUCAUUCCUUUGUCCUCCUCCUCUCUUCCUAUGUCACUAUGUGCUAAAUCAUCUGCUUUAAACUAAUUUUAUUUUACCACUAUUAUUGUAUUUACUCUUUACUAAACUAAGUCUACUGUAAACUAUUUUUUUUUAAUUUCCAAUUAAAAAAAAAAACGUAAUGUAUACCAUUGAUUCAAUUACAAAAACAAAAAGAAAAAAAAAGUAUGUAGGUACGUAAAUAAUAUUAUAUGCUUACUAAUAUCUUUCGUGCACCAUUACGUUUCUUGGUUUAGAGCAACAAGAUGCAUAUGUUGCAACUAAAUUAUAAGGAUAUUCUCUGUUAUUUAUUACUUUUCUUUUUUACAUAUUCUAGAUAAAAUACUUUAAAUUCCUACCUUUAUUAUUAGAGAUGAUAGUCGCCUUUAUUUUAUGUUUCUACAUUGAACCAAUCCUCGCAUAUAAAUUCAUCUAAAAUGCGUAAGUCACGCGUAGUGCGCCGUGAUUAAAAAAUGUCUUUCACAUGCAUGUGAGCGCGUGGAAAGGCUAGUAAUAUAUAAAUUCCAACAAUCCCUCGCAUGAAUGAAAAAUUAGGAAGAAUUUGAGAGUACAGGUGGACAAGAGAUGCAUCGGGAGAGGUGUCCUUUGGACUUGAACCUACCCUAGGGAAUACUUAUUAGAUUUACUUGGUGACGCAGUGGAUGUGAAAGAUCUUGAACUGUUCAUCGCAACAGUAUACCGAGACAAUAAGCAACACACAUUACUAAUCUUAAUAUAUUAUGGUUCAUACGGUUGUGUUCAUUUUGGUCCUGAACAAUCCCGGAUUCAUGAGAGUUUAGAGAAUUUAGCCAUCUCAUUCUCAUAGAAGCGACCAACUUCUACUCUCACAUAAGUGACCACUGAUUGAGAAUACUCUGCAAUAUUCCUCUUGUUUAUAAGAUAUCAUUGUCAUUAAGUAUAAAUAUACACCCUAAAACUUCUGCAACACACUUCCUCCAUCAUAGGAAUGAGGUAUAUAGUGUGUGAACUUCUUUGAAUCAUGCACAACCUGUUUGCCUAUAGAACUUAGACCAUGGGAUCUCCUAUCAAUUCCGCCCGGCUGAUUCAUUAGUUAUGUUGGCUUUAGCCUCAUUCCCCUCGAUAAUCAACUUACUCUCUAGUCAAAUCUUUAAUAAUUGGAUUCACUACUAGGUUGACUAUUUUAAUGAUGUGCACAAUCCAUCUUUUGAAAUUAUAUUUCAUACGACAGUAGUUGUGAAGUCCUCAAAAGUACAUGUUGGGAUUUUAGUAAGGAAUUUUCUAGAAAGUAGACUUCUCCCACAUUUAAGGUAUUUGUAGGAAGGUCUCUAACUCUUCAUACCUUAAAGUUACUCAUUAUAAGAGAUAAUUGCUUUUUAUUCUCUCUCUUUUAAUAAACAAAUUACUCUUUACAAUUUGGACAUCGUGCUUAGCCCUUACUCGGCUAAAUUAUCACAAAGUACAUUUCUCUAGCCUUAAAGCUGUAUUCAAUUCCAUUAUAGAUUAUGCCUUUGCAUAUCCACCUAUAUGUACUUUGACUUUAAAUGAUCAAAAUUCAAUUAGCCAGCAUCAUUGAAUUCAUAACAUGUCCAUUCAUAUUCUUGCUUAAGAAGCAUCAUCAUGUUUAAUUUAAUUGUGUAUGCUUACUCAAUAAGCAUCAAUUUCAGUGCCUUAUCAUUCCUUUUACGAAAACCCUCACACUUCCAGUGUAUAAUUCUUCGCAAAGGAAUUGGCUUUGGUUUUAUUCACGACUAACAUGGCUUAUGAGCAAAACUCAUUUUUGUAGUGCCUUCACAUGUUACUCCUUUAUCAGGAAGUGCUCAUCAUUCUAUAAAUGUGCUAAUUCAAUCAAUGAGUUUUCAGAUCACACAGCCCAUAUCAGUAGAUGCCCAACCACAACAUUAAAGAUUGCAUUAUGAUCUUGUAGCUAAUUGGGAAACAAAAAACUCAAACAUUCCUGUUUAUGUAUCACUAUUGCUUUGAAGCCCUCACACAUCUGCAGUAUACAACCACAAGUUCUGUGCCAUAUGUAUACUAACAUAAGAAAAACCUUCUCUUUAGCAAAGAAAGAGGCUUCACAACCGCUAACAGAGAUUUACUUCUCCUAUUCAAUCCUAUGAAAUUCCAAGUCGCUAAAUUAUGGCGCUCCCACCUUCACUUUCUCUAUUGUCUUUCACUUUUUUUUUUAUACACAUAUCACCAAGAGUGUAUACUUGUGGUUUUCAUUCCCUCUAGGUCCUUUGCUCUUAUUUUCAUCACCAUGCAGCUUCAAAAAUAAGCUUUUAUUUCUUCGAAGAAUAUGCCACCUUUCAUACUACCAUCAAUUUAUAUCAAUGCAAUAAUUAUUCAAAAGCUUAACACCAAUUCUAUUUAUCAUCUAUUCUUGACCAACUUCAUUUCUUUUAAAAUCAUCAACUCCUCAAUCCUUUUUCUUCUUAAAAUUAACGGAAGCUUAUCCACUAAAAAUUGCUUUGCUUUCCUAUCGACGAUAUUAUAAUACAGUUGCUGUCUUCUCCAUUUUAAUUUGAUUCCCAAACUCGUCAUAUCUUCAUCAAACUAGCUGACAGACAACCAAUGUUCAUCCCCUCCUCUUAGAGCAUCUUUCACCAUCUCUACUAUUUAUUCAAGCCUAAUUAUCAUUAUAUAAAGUCUCAACAACAUAUUUAUACAUUUCUUUUGAAUUCUUCAACAUUGAAACAUGUAGAAUACCUUCUGCAUUGAUAUAGGUACUCUCAAAUUCUUCUGACUAGUGUAUAAGUACCCAAAUCCUCAUAUUGAAGCACUAUUUCUCCUUCAUAAUUAUGGUUCUGUAUGUAACAAUAAUUUUGCAAGUGAUUCUCUAAAAUCAUGAACCAACACUAAGUUCAAACCUAUCUCCUAGAGCUCAUAUUAACUAUAUAAUAAUUCAUAAUUCAAUUGCAAAAUUACAAAUCCAAAGUGAUCAUAAUUCUUUGUAUCAUCUUAGGAAUAAAUUUGGCAAUUUGUUCAGUGAUACUCAUUGCGUAUAUAAUCAUUUGUAUGCUAAUUCUCCAAUGAAAACACUUUAGUUUCUUACAACUCCCGCCAAAUCAUGACUACUAACUCCAUAUCUAUCCAACUUAGUAAUCCAUAGACCUGUUCAAACUUGAAUUUCCUUCGUAAUUACUCGCCCUUACAUCACACGAGUAACAAAAUCCAAGUGUCCAUAACAUCUUCAUCUCUAAAAUAAUCAUUCCAACAUCGCAUGUAACUAACUUAUAUUAAGAUCCUUUGCAUAAAAAUUCUUCUUACUUGUCCAAUCCCAUAUAAUCACCCUUCUCCAAUUCAAACUUAAAAUAUCUCUAAUCACAUAUGAACAUGAAAUAAUACUGGCUAGUUUUUGAAAUAAUUUUGAAGCAAAAUGAACUUACGUUGAGACUUGUUUAGAUAUCAAAAGUAUAAGUUCUUGUACACAUAGUGUAUAAAAAGAAAUCCAAUAAAUUCAUUACAUAAAAAUAACUUCGCACACACACACACACACACACACACAUAUAUAUAACCAUUUUUUUUUUAAAUACGGGGUAUUACAAUCUACCCUCCUUAAAAGAAAUUGCGCCCUCGAAAUUUGCAAGACCUUAAUAGUUUUACAAGUAAGGUAAAACAAAUCUAAAAGACGUAGAAUAUAUCACAAAUAUUAUAGUAAUAGUUGAAAAACAUUGAUGAAGUAUUUAGUUAGAGUGGUUGCAUGGAGAUUACCCUUCCAUGUCAUGUGGAUUGCAAUUCUCCAAUUUAGGCCUUCCAACUCUAGCAAAACACCUCUAUAGUGAACUUGAUAAGAAAACGAAAUUAGUCUUUUACUGAAAAUCACCUAAUAAUGAAAUUAGAAUAGAAAAAUUGAUGGUUACACAAAUCGGAAAUGUAACUCACCAAUCACCUUACUAAUUGGAUUCCUAUAUUCUCACCACACAUAAUUUAAAAUUUUAUAACUCAUCACAUAGCCCAAAACUAUGUAGGAAUGAGAUUUCACUAGCUCAUCACAAUUUAGGAAUGAGAAUUAUUAUUGACAUUGCCAACUCGUGUAGGAAUGAAAGUUUUAGUUUGCAAUGACCAUUUUUCUUUAUUUUUCCUUUGUGAGUAGGAAUGAAUUACAUUGGAAUUCAUAUCCCCAUCAAAAUUUACAAACAUUUACUAAAGAACACAAAUUCCUGCGAACAAAUUGCAAGUGUUAAACAACAUGUACUGAAAUUACUGUUUCUAUAAAGGAAGACCAUUAAAAUACUUCAACGUUUUUCUGAAGAAAAAAAAAAAAAAAACUCAAAUCCAAAGGAAAUGGAUCCCCAUACAUAUAUAAAUAUGCACACAUAUUUAUACCGUUACUUUAUGGGCUCCUCCUUCUCCUCCUAGUAACUUGCCUCAGUUCAUUGUCCUAGUAGCAUACUAAUACAAGUCAAGACCCACAAUCUAGAUAACAAGAAACUACUCAUCCAGUCAUUAUUCUGAUGACUCCAAUGCCACUUUCACUAUAUAAGAAUCAAAACAUAAUUAGUCCAAAGUUAAAAAACAUAAAAUUUAAGCUAAUUCGACAAACAUAGUGAUCAUCACAAGUUCAAUCCUAGAGUAUCUAAUCCCUAAGCUUUGAUACCAUUUUGUCACACCCCAACCCACGAAUAAGGACUAUUCACGAGCUAGGGUGUGAACCAUAUCUUGCUUAUAGAAUUUAUUUCUAUAGUUAAGAUAUGGCUCACACCCUAACUUGUGAAUAGUCCUUAUUCGAGGGUUGGGACGUGACAAAUGAAUAGAUAAAAUAUUAAAUUACUGCAAAGACCAAAAACUGGGUAGAAUGAAAUGACUAUAAAUGACUUACUCAAUCACCAAUCACUUGGCUCUUAUACCAAAUGAAUAAAAAGAAUGACACGAAGUCGUCAUCUGUAUUUACUUUGAAGUUAAGAUAUUCAAUUAAUUGAUUGACAAAAUUUACUGGAAGAAUUGGAUGAUGGUGCUCGUAGGCAUCCUUCUUCUAAAAUGAAAAAGUGUUUACAAUAUUUAAUUUCUUUGAAUAUAGUGUGCACUGAUGCGAAAAUUAUCUUAACAUACAAAUUAAACCUUCUUGUUGUCAAUUGUAGUAUAAAUGCAAGUAGGGAUCGUUUUAGGCCGGAGAUUAGGAGGGAUUGCUAAAACACUUGAAACUGACUUAAAAACGUAAAAUUAAGUUUAAAACACCAAACUAGACUCAAAGAACUUAAAACAAACUCAAAGGACUCAAAACAAGCUAAAAACGCUCAAAUUUGCCUAAAAACACAAACUGGGCAGAUUUGGACUCUAACACACUUUUGGGACACCUAAAAACACAAAUCAAAACAGAUUUUGACUAAUAAAACACUUUAAAGUAAAGGGGGUUUUGGUUUGGACGAAUUUGAAAACAAAACAAGUAAAUUAAAGAACUAAUGAAAUCUGCACGAAUUUGAAUAAAUUGAAUGGAUGGAAGGCUAGCUAGGAGGUUCUUCUCCACACAUGACAUACUUGCACAUAAACCAAUUUUCAGUUGUUCUUUCGAUCAAUCAUGAAACUCAACACCCCAGGUUAAUUAAGUCCGCUUAAAUUAACCUUCAAGUUCUCCUUAAGUUAUUGAAUUGGAUGGGAAAACGCAUACAACAAUUCAAGCAUUCUUCAAAAGUUCCUUACGUGAACAUCACAAUAAAGAUACAAUCAAAGAUCAUUAAGCAUUAUGAAAACUAUAAGUAUUGACGAGGUAGUCGUUACUAUGAUGAGCAUGAAACUCCUGCCAAGAAUUUAUUUAACGCUAUCGUUUAUAAGCGACCUCCACUACUUGUGAAUAUAAGUUUGUAACUAUUAGGUGAAACUCCCUUAUACUCUAGCAUCAUAUUCAUGCAUGCAAACUAAGUGUGCACUCUUAAUAAAUAUACACGAAUAAGUUAUCAAUCAAGCAGUUAAACAAAUUGAAUUCACAACUUAUGAAAUCACAACUGAAGGUAAUCAAAUCAUAUUGCAAGCAUGAUGGUUUCGAAUUCCCCCUAGCUAAGUGAUGCGAAACAUAUAAGCACACAAAUUAAACCCUCUUUUUAUCAAAUGUAGUAAAGUAUGUAAGUAGGGAUCGUUCUGGACAGGGGAUUAGGAGGGAUUGCUAAACACUUGAAAAAUGACUUAGAAAUGUAAAAACAAAGUUUAAAACACUAAACUAGACUCAAAGAAUGUAAAACUAAAGUUUGAAACACUGAAACAAACCAAAAGACUCAAAACAGCAAACAAACACUCAAAACUGCCUUAAAAACACUUUAUGGGCAGUUUUGAACACAAACACAAAUUUGGACGAAAUUGGGUUACAACUUGAAUCAAAACACUUAAAAACACAAACUAAAUGGAUUUCUAACUAAUCUAACACUUUAAAAUAAAGGGGGAUUUGGUUUUGACGAAAUUGAAAACAAGACAAAACUUUGUAAUUAAAAUAGAUUGUAGAACGAAUUUGAAUGAAGCUUAUGGAUGGAAGGCUAGCUAGGAGGUUCUUCACCACACAUGUUACACUUGCAUACAAAACGAUCUCCAAUUGCUUUUCGAUACACUAUGAAUACUCAACGCCCCAGAUUAACCGUGAAUUGCACUAAUUAACCCUCAGUUUUUUCACAAGUUAUUGAGUUGGAUGAUUGCAUACGACAACCCAAAACAUUCCCUACAAGUUCCCUACAUGAAUUGCAUAAUAGAGAUACAAGCAAGAAUCAUUAAGUUCUAUGAAAAACAUAAGCAUUGACGAGGCACUCGUUACUAUGAAUUGCAUGAAAUUUAUGCCAAGAAUUUACUUAACGCGAUUGUGACUAGCAACCUUCACUACUUGCGAAUAUAAGUUCAUAACGAUUAGGUGAAACUCCCUUAUAUUCUAGCAUCAAAUUCAUGCAUGAAAAUUAAGCGUGCACUCUCAACCAACAUACACAAAUAAGUUUUUAUACGAACGGAUAAGUAAAUUGAAUUCACAGCUUAUGAAACGCAAUUAGAAGUAAUCAAAUCAUAUUGCAAGCAUAAACAUGGUUUCGAAUUCCCCCUAGCCAAAGGGGGGUUUAGUUCCUCAUACUUACAAAACAAAGAGUAUUGAAUUUAAACAUUGAAAACAAGGGAAAGAAAACACCUAAAACGUUCCAGCAAUCCUAACUUGAAUGGCAUGCACGUCCAAGGCUUCUCUUCCUUCCUCUUUGUUGUGGCACAAGGUUUUGGGGACAGGUUUGGAUGGUAUUUGUAUGGAGGAAUGGAUGGGAGAUGGUAUGGUGGUGUUUAGGAUGGAUGGGGGGUGUGGCAAAAGAGAGAAAGAUGGCUGAAAAUGUGUUUGUGACGUAGUGUAUGAAUGUGUAGAUGGGUUUGGCUAAAAGAAUGGAUGGAGAAUGGGUGGUGUGGCUGAUUGUGUUUUUGAUGUAGUGU